UGGGGGCUGUGACUUUGAGCUGGCCUGGGUGGGGCGUCAGGGGAGGACUGAAGUUGGUCUGGGGCCAAGGUGGCUGGGAAUAAGGUGAUCAGUGUGGUCAUGAUUUUAGCCCUGAAAAAUCCUGUGUCCUAGCCCUGGGUGGAAUGGAACAGACAGUUUCCUUGGAGAGAUACUGGUGAGGGACCAGAAGUGACUGUCUUUGUGGAAGGACUUGGCAUGCAUCAGACCUGUCUGGCCCGUGGGGGUUGGUGCUUGAGGGGCUGCUGAGGCAGGAACUCCCAGAGGAUCAUGGGAAAACAUGGGUCUUCAGGGGGCACCUUGAAAUCCUGUAGGGACUAGCCUGGGAGUCAAACACCAAAUUAUGUGUGGGACCAAGGCUCAAACUGGGCCACCAGCGAGGCCUGGCACCAUGGGGGAAGGACUUUCUCCAGCUGAGGACUCCACUACAGGAGGCUUUUGAGAAGCAGAGAAGAAGUUGUAGACACCUGGACUUGAGCUGCAGGAAUGAGGAUGUGAUGGGUGGCCCCUGAACAGCUCUCUUGGGGUCUGAGGAGGCAGGAGGAAAAUACUGAGGACAUUCCAGUAGCAAGACAGAGUUCUCUCAGGAUCCUGACCUUGGAAAGCCACCCUGCCAGCCCCAGACUGCCUGCCU
This is a long non-coding RNA of Fukomys damarensis (Damara mole-rat), 652 nucleotides long. RefSeq lists it as uncharacterized. Lineage: Eukaryota; Metazoa; Chordata; Mammalia; Rodentia; Bathyergidae. The transcript is spliced from 3 exons. The record is from RefSeq and is a predicted model, not a curated record.